Epinephelus moara (kelp grouper) is the source of this 663-nucleotide long non-coding RNA. RefSeq lists it as uncharacterized. The transcript is spliced from 4 exons. Lineage: Eukaryota; Metazoa; Chordata; Actinopteri; Perciformes; Serranidae. The record is from RefSeq and is a predicted model, not a curated record.
UCAGUUUAAUCGCCUGUAUUCAGGUCUGCGCAAGGUUUGGGGCAGGGAAGGUUUCUGAUUGGAUAGGGGGCGGGGCGGAUGUUACGUGUUUACGUUUACCGGAAGAAAACACUGUAGUCCUCGCUCCGGAUAACAAGAUGCUUGACGCCGCCGUUCUUAGUGCCAUUUUCGGGCGUGUUUUGCUUAUAUUCUUAAAGCAGCAGUACGACAACAACCUUGUUCUGCUAAUGCUUCAUCUGUUGAGCAGGAGAAGGGAGGUAGAAGACCGUGCUGUGGCGAAUGGAAACCGUGUUUUUACAGGUUUAAAUCGCCGGGUCUAUUUAAUUUGGAGAGGUGGAGACUCCUGUGGAUGAUUCAGCUCCUGGUAAAAACCUCCUGAAUGUCUGGAUCAUAAAUAAGCAACCAAGAUUCUGCCAAAUCCAUCCAAGAGUGUAACUGAAAGGGGAGUGACAGUCUUCCCACUCUGCUCUUGUGCAACCAACAGAGACACAACAACAAGGGUUCCUCCUUGGCUGUCACCACUCUCUCCCCACGUCUUGGAUUUGGCACCGCAGCUGAAGGGGCUGAGCUGUCCUCCCUCUCUGUCUCCACACUGUCUCUCAACCUGACAGUGUGCGGUCCACAUCCUCCUUCUAAUCCUCAUCAUCCACCUGAAUAUUACCA